Molecule: long non-coding RNA, 672 nt
Organism: Alosa sapidissima (American shad)
Lineage: Eukaryota; Metazoa; Chordata; Actinopteri; Clupeiformes; Clupeidae
Exons: 4
Source: RefSeq, a predicted model, not a curated record
CCAUAUCCCGGAUAUCUCCUCGGUGACCUCUGGAGCGCUGCCAGAUUGAGGCCAGCACACUUCAACACCAAUCAAGCCAAGAGCCAUGACACCCACAGGAUCAGAGAACUCACAUAUCCACCGACCUUGACCAGGGAACCUCAUCAAUACACUUCAAACAUCGAUCCGUUCUCAAGAUGCUGUCUCCAUUACUGCGAUUCAUCACAGUGCUCUCGGCAGACCAUCAGUCAGACACGCAGAUGUCAGGAGAAUGUGUCGUCGUCUCUUUCUCUCUCUCUUUCUUUCUUUCUCUCUUUCUUUCUUUCUUUCUCUUUCUCUCUCUAGACACAGCCCAGAAAUCUCACCAUCAAAACAAAAGCUGAGCCCACAAUGGGUCUCGUGUCUGACACCGCCAGGACGCCCGUUAUCUGCCCAGGCUGCCCGCGGGGGCCCUCGCUCAGGGGACUGCUCUCGGAGGUGUCAAUCAACCAGCCAGCCGCUUCUCUAGCUGGCGGAGGUCACUGCCAGAGGUCGCCACUGGGAGGGCCUGUCGACUGGAUCUCGUUAUCCGCCACUGAUACAAGUGACAAAUUGGAUCCCAGACAAGGGGAGAGGCGGAGAGGCAGUUGGAGUCGAGCGUCUUGACCCUGCCAAGUGCUUCCCCUCGCUUAAAAUGGAACAGGGGGCCGUGAG